UGUAGGAGUGAGCCUGCUCGCGAUAGCGGUAUGUCAGCUGAAAGUGUGUUGACUGAUACACCGCUAUCGCGAGCAGGCUCACUCCUACA
This 89-nucleotide unclassified non-coding RNA is filed under the name Pseudomonas granadensis. Lineage: Bacteria; Pseudomonadati; Pseudomonadota; Gammaproteobacteria; Pseudomonadales; Pseudomonadaceae. The record is from RNAcentral.